RNAcentral lists this ribosomal RNA (253 nucleotides) under uncultured bacterium. Its description in RNAcentral is "partial 16S ribosomal RNA". It matches the Rfam family "Bacterial small subunit ribosomal RNA", at positions 524 to 776 of the family's 1533-position model. The record is from RNAcentral.
UACGGAGGGUGCAAGCGUUAUCCGGAUUUACUGGGUUUAAAGGGUGCGUAGGCGGUUAGGUAAGUCAGGGGUGAAAUCUUCGAGCUUAACUCGGAAAUUGCCUUUGAUACUAUCUAUCUUGAAUAUUGUGGAGGUAAGCGGAAUAUGUCAUGUAGCGGUGAAAUGCUUAGAUAUGACAUAGAACACCUAUUGCGAAGGCAGCUUACUACGCAUAUAUUGACGCUGAGGCACGAAAGCGUGGGGAUCAAACAGG